This 497-nucleotide ribosomal RNA is filed under the name uncultured bacterium. Its description in RNAcentral is "partial 16S ribosomal RNA". It matches the Rfam family "Bacterial small subunit ribosomal RNA", at positions 28 to 507 of the family's 1533-position model. The record is from RNAcentral.
GAUGAACGCUGGCGGCGUGCCUAAUACAUGCAAGUAGAACGCUGAAGGAAGGAGCUUGCUCUUUCCGGAUGAGUUGCGAACGGGUGAGUAACGCGUAGGUAACCUGCCUGGUAGCGGGGGAUAACUAUUGGAAACGAUAGCUAAUACCGCAUAACAGUAGAUGUUGCAUGAUAUCUACUUAAAAGGUGCAAUUGCACCACUACCAGAUGGACCUGCGUUGUAUUAGCUAGUUGGUGAGGUAACGGCUCACCAAGGCGACGAUACAUAGCCGACCUGAGAGGGUGAUCGGCCACACUGGGACUGAGACACGGCCCAGACUCCUACGGGAGGCAGCAGUAGGGAAUCUUCGGCAAUGGACGGAAGUCUGACCGAGCAACGCCGCGUGAGUGAAGAAGGUUUUCGAAUCGUAAAGCUCUGUUGUAAGAGAAGAACGAGUGUGAGAGUGGAAAGUUCACACUGUGACGGUAUCUUACCAGAAAGGGACGGCUAACUACGUG